GACGAACGCUGGCGGCGUGCUUAACACAUGCAAGUCGAGCGAUGAAGCUACUUCGGUAGUGAAUUAGCGGCGAACGGGUGAGGAACACGUGAGGAAUCUGCCUUCAACACUGGGAUAACUCCGGGAAACCGGGGCUAAUACCGGAUACGAGCUCUGACCGCAUGGUCGGGGCUGGAAAGUUUUUCGGUUGAAGAUGACCUCGCGGCCUAUCAGCUUGUUGGUGAGGUAAUGGCUCACCAAGGCGACGACGGGUAGCCGGCCUGAGAGGGCGACCGGCCACACUGGGACUGAGACACGGCCCAGACUCCUACGGGAGGCAGCAGUGGGGAAUAUUGGGCAAUGGAGGAAACUCUGACCCAGCGACGCCGCGUGCGGGAAGAAGGCCUUCGGGUUGUAAACCGCUUUCAGUAGGGAAGAAGCGAAAGUGACGGUACCUACAGAAGAAGCGCCGGCUAACUAUGUGCCAGCAGCCGCCGUAA
Molecule: ribosomal RNA, 479 nt
Filed under: uncultured bacterium
Lineage: Bacteria
Description: partial 16S ribosomal RNA
Rfam family: Bacterial small subunit ribosomal RNA
Source: RNAcentral